This 1382-nucleotide long non-coding RNA is filed under the name Piliocolobus tephrosceles (Ugandan red Colobus). RNAcentral describes it as "lncRNA (ENSPTEG00000013404.1)". The record is from RNAcentral. Lineage: Eukaryota; Metazoa; Chordata; Mammalia; Primates; Cercopithecidae.
AUGUUAGGUAAAACAGAUAAUGACAGUUACAAAGAUUUAGUUAAAGCACAUGAAGAAUUUAUUAAAUCUUGUGUUGAUAUUAAAACUAAAUUAAAAUAUAAAGACACAUUUUUUUUUAUUAUUCAAAAACUAAUUCAAAGAAAUUUACAUGAUUUUAAAAAAAAACAAGGUUUUCAUAUUUUUAGAAAAAAUGAUUAUACUAGCGAAUUAUCAGUUGAUUAUGUAAAAAAUUCCAAUAUAGAAGAAAAAAUUAAAGAACAACUUCUGAAAAAACUAAGUAAUGAAUUAUCAGCUAGUAAAUAUUACCCUUUUCGUAUUUUUAAAUGGAAGGGCGCUUUAGAAAUUAUCAAUAUAACCACAUUAAUGCUUCCAAUAACCUGUAUAGGAUUAUUUUUAUCGAAAAUGGGACUAUUUUCCGUAGCUGUGAAUAUACUACUAACUGCACAUUUUUUAACUUUCAAAAAAGAUCAAAAAAAAAAAUGGAAGUAUCCACAUUUGUUUUAACUUUGUUUCCGAUACUUUUACAUAUUUCUCUUGGUAUGGUUUCGAAGGAUCUAUUUCUUAAACAUUAUAAGGUAAUACGUACAUACGUGCAUAUACGUAUAUAUACAUGAUAAUUACCACAAUCAAAUGUAAUGAUAUUUUACAGGCAACUAUUUACUAGAGCAUAAUAUGCAUCUAUUUAUAUAAGUAGUUACAUAUUAUGCUACAUUAUAAACAAAAAACAUCUUUCGUUUUGCUUUUUUUUACUUAUAAGCUAUAUAUAUAUAUAUAUAUUUAUUUAUAUAUAACCUUUUUUUAACAGCAUAUAAUACCGACGUUUAUAAAAGUAGAAAACAUAUUAUCAUUUUUCAUAAAUAUUCAAUUAUAUAUUGCUUCCCUUAUUUAUUUUGUUAACAACAAUGACGAAGAACCUACAGAAAAUUUAGAAGAGGAAAUUAAAAACGACAAUAUGGAUUUCCAUAAUGAUAUAUAUCAAUAGGAUACAAAUACAUAAAAAUAAUACUUUCCUUUUUUUUUUUUUUAUUCAAUUUUUGUAUGUUUUUAUGUUAUAGAUAUUUUUUUUUUUUUUUUUUUUUUUUUUGUAUAUCGUUAAAUUGUUUUAUAUACGUAAAUUAAAGCAAUAUUAUAAUAUUUGACAAAAAAAAAUAUAUAUAUAUAUAUACAUAAAUAUAUAUCAUAUAUAUUUUUUUUUUAUUUAAUCAUUUCUUUUGUGCACCUCUCUUUAUUUUUUGUUUCGUUAUAUUUUGAAUCCGAAAUAUAAAUAAGCAUAUAUAUACAUAUAUAUACGAUUCCUUUUUUGUUUUGUUUAUAACUGAUUCAUAACAAGUGUCAAACUUAAAAAACUAAAAAACACAGUAAUAACAAAUGCAUGUGCAAGA